Molecule: ribosomal RNA, 231 nt
Filed under: uncultured bacterium
Lineage: Bacteria
Description: partial 16S ribosomal RNA
Rfam family: Bacterial small subunit ribosomal RNA
Source: RNAcentral
CGGGGUGAGGAAUACAUCGGAAUUUGCCCAGUCGUGGGGGAUAACGUAGGGAAACUUACGCUAAUACCGCAUACGACCGAGAGGUGAAAGCGGGGGAUCUGUAAGGACCUCGCGCGAGUGGAUGAGCCGAUGUCGGAUUAGCUAGUUGGCGGGGUAAAGGCCCACCAAGGCGACGAUCCGUAGCUGGUCUGAGAGGAUGAUCAGCCACACUGGGACUGAGACACGGCCCAG